UGGGGAAUAUUGGACAAUGGGCGCAAGCCUGAUCCAGCCAUGCCGCGUGAGUGAUGAAGGCCUUAGGGUUGUAAAGCUCUUUCAGUGGGGACGAUAAUGACGGUACCCACAGAAGAAGCCCCGGCUAACUUCGUGCCAG
Molecule: ribosomal RNA, 139 nt
Filed under: uncultured bacterium
Lineage: Bacteria
Description: partial 16S ribosomal RNA
Rfam family: Bacterial small subunit ribosomal RNA
Source: RNAcentral